RNAcentral lists this unclassified non-coding RNA (17 nucleotides) under Mus musculus (house mouse). RNAcentral's name for it is "oocyte_clustered_small_RNA9969". The record is from RNAcentral. Lineage: Eukaryota; Metazoa; Chordata; Mammalia; Rodentia; Muridae.
GCUGGUGCAGACAUCUC